Molecule: long non-coding RNA, 1188 nt
Organism: Stegostoma tigrinum
Lineage: Eukaryota; Metazoa; Chordata; Chondrichthyes; Orectolobiformes; Stegostomatidae
Exons: 5
Source: RefSeq, a predicted model, not a curated record
UAGGUUUGUACUAAAAUGUCUCGGUUAAAUCGAGCGAGUUCACUUUACGUUUAAGGAGACGGAAAGAUUGGUCUGGGGAAGUUGGGAAGCACAUGUCACGGUGACUCGGCUGGUUUGCAUCUGGAAGUGGUAGAUUCUCACCUGGUGCCCGAAUUGGUUACAAGGGAAGCCCAGCACAACGAAACGGUUCGGGUAGCGGUUCUGAAGCUCGUUGAGUUGGGUGAAAUCCCUUGUGGUCGUGCCUCAGAGAGAGGCCACGUUCUCGAUCAGGACUACUUUGCCCCUGAAGACAUUGAAGUCCAGCUUCUCCCCGUCCAGGGUGACGGCGCUGAGGUCGUAAAACGACUUGACGCUCUGAGCCAUGGUGCAGAACGACCGAGUGCAGACUCUCUGAAGGAGAAAUUUCAUACAACGGCGCAUAUAACAACCACCUGACCACAAGUACAAAGAGUCCUAUCUCUGAGCAAUGACUAUGCAAAAAGCUAAUCCUCAACCCCGCCCUUUUCAGAAACUGGAACACUCCCUAGAACAGCAAGGAACAAGACUGACCUCAAGUACUGGUUAGGGGUUUUAGACUAUUGCCCCAUUAUUUCACAAGCUGGCACUCCUUUUUAGGCAAAAUGUUUAGUAACUGUAGCCAUGUUUUAAACAAACCAGAUGUGGAAAAGAGACAGAACGUGUAUCUGCACAACCUAGUUGUGAAAUGUGCAGCAAAUUAACCCUUUCGCAAACGCGAACCGAGAAAGAAAGACCAAAACUGGUUGAAACCGAAAAAAAUUGAACUUCUAAAUUUAGUUAACGGGUGAUCACAGCAGCUUUGUGGGCCUAAUUUGGACAUCAAACGGAGCAUAACAUUGUUUUACUGGGAUGGAGGUGCUGGAAGUUAACACCAGGGAAAAAUGAUGACUGUUUCUAAAUCCACAAUGAGAGAAGUGGUUUUUUGUCUUCAUAAACCAGAAAGACUGUGACCAGGCAAUCCCAUGGAGACACUGGGAGAAGAUGAAAGUGAGAUGCUUAUGGCAGAGGAGAGGGCUGUACGUCUUUUGCCAAAGGUUGAAUAUCCAAAGUGAAACGCAAUGUUCCAAAUGGGAACGGACCAAGGCUGUAUGACAGAUUUCGUGAUCACAUUGGGGUGGAAGAAAAAUGAAGAGAAGAAAAUAUGAAGAAAAGAAGAAAAAAAUUUCCAAA